Molecule: non-coding RNA, 3023 nt
Organism: Pelodiscus sinensis (Chinese soft-shelled turtle)
Lineage: Eukaryota; Metazoa; Chordata; Testudines; Trionychidae
Source: RefSeq, a predicted model, not a curated record
CCUGGGGUCUGGUCCUGAGCUCCAUGUGGUGCUGCCACUUUGAAGUACCACCUCCUCUCCUCUUCUCUCCCGCCUACCCCCCUUUGCUGCCUCUUUGAGAGAGAGGCAGCAAGGGUGGGGGGAAGUAACUACAGGAUACCCCCAACUUAUGACCUCAGCCCGCACUUAUGAUGGCACACAGUGCCUAUCGUAAAUGUGGGUUUGAAUUACGAUGCCCCUGACUUGCUAUGCUUCCCCAGGAACAGAUUGUGUUGUAAGUCGGGGGCUGCCUGUAGUUGAUUAGUGUGUUAACCAUCCAAUAAGCAUUUGCUUAUCGGAUAGUCAACUAGUCGUUCACAUCCCUGCUGUGGUGGUGUCCAACAUGCUAGCCACUAACCACAUGGGGGUUAUUUGGCCAGUUGAGUGUGGUGGCUUGAACAAUAAAACAUAUUUUCAGAAUAAUGUGGCUAGUUGGCCAGAGCAGUAGCCACUAUAGUAGCUACUGCUUCAGAACUGAUUGGACACCAUGGUGCUAGAGGUUUGCAACAAAACCUAAUGUUAUUUAUUUCUACUUGGACUACAAGAGUCUGCUGUGACUAAUAUACUCUGAUGUUGAGGAAUGGGUUUCUUCUCUACCUGAAUCUAUCUUCUUCUAGAGAAGGGAGAAAUCUCAUGCCUUUUUGUUUCAAAAUAGCUUUUUAAUGAAAUACCAGACAAUGUAACAGAAUAUGCUAGCAUAAAACAGGAAAUUCAACUGCUAUACAAAGUUCUGCCACACAACUUAGAAUACAAAAAGACUUUUCUGCUUAUCUAAAUAUAAUUUAGCUGUAGCGAAUGGGAAGAUGUACAAUCUAAUGAGCAGGCCGGAGACUGGGAUGUGUAUAUCAGCUGGCUAUAUUGAGUUUCUGGUUGACUCUUUUCCUUCUAUCCAGCAUUGAAGCAUACAAACCUACGUUAACUUUUCAAAAAUCUGGGUCUCAUGAAGUACGCACUAUUAUUUUACACACAUUCAUAUUUAAUCCACAAAAACAUGAUCAGUGCAUUGAUGUUCCGUGUAAUCAACCUAACUUGCCUUAUUUAUCCUGUGAAGUGUUUCUCUCAAAUAAAAAACUUCUGCAUAAAGUGGGGGGAAAAAGUACUUGUUCUUUUUGCAUUGUGCACUCCAGUGAGGUAUUAGUAUCCACAAGGUUAAUAAUUGCACCAAAAUAUGUUUGAGUUUUGUUCCUUUAAGUGACAUUAAGGCCAUAUUUCAGAAUUACUUGUUCUGAAUGGAAGUAAAAAUAAAAAUCCCCAAUAAUGCUUGUUCUUUACAUACGGACGGACACAAGUUACCUUUAGUACAACUGCUGAAAGUGGGCAUGUAUUUUGAUAUUGAAGGUUUUUUUUUUUUUAAAGCUAACUUCCACACUGAGUUGUAUUAACUAUUUCAGUGGUUUUGGAACAGAUACGUAAUAGUUUUAGUGAGACAAUAGUUCAGAAUGUUUACCGUUGGAAAAAAAUUAUACGAACAUCUGGUUUUGCCACAAAUCAGCGAGCUCUGAAGGUACAUAUUUUCAUUAUGUACCUGGUUAUCGUUUACUACUGAAAGAGCCAACUAAAACUUAUUUUAUCUUUAUUACACUGUUAGGUUAUUUAUAUAUACAGCCAGAAAGUGGUAUGUUACCCUACAGUCUUGUUAGCUUUCCAGCUUAUUGAAUGACUAUCAUUAAUUAGGAAAGUAAUUUUGAAAAUAGAGCUGUUUUGUUCAUUCUUUCACUGAUUUCAAACAAGAUUUGCAGUUUUAAAAGUCUAACUGUUAAUCAUUCUUAAAUUAUAGGAGAUGCUCAACCUGGGAUGGGGAAGAAAAUCAAGCCUCUUGUGUCAUUAGCAGGAAUUAAGAUUCUGUCAUCAGUACUUGGCAAUUUUUUAUUGCUUUUGCCUGAAGGCAAAAUAGGAUCCAACUUCCUUUCCAAUAGGUGUAACGAGCCAACAUGGUGCCAAUCCAUGUUCUUGUGAACACUACCAGAAGGUGCCAUUAAGUCACUUUUCUGUUUUAUUAUUGCACUGAAGACCUUGUUUGGAAAACACUACAAACCAAGCUAUGGGCAUGAUCUCAGUUAAAGGAUUAGAAUUAAAUGAAAAAUUUGGACAAAACUGGUGGUUUGAUACCAAUAACAAUGUUGGCUGUGAGCACAGUAUUCCAAGUAUUAAAUAGUUAUUAGCCUAAUGUUUAGCCAUGUGUAUUUGUCACCUCCAGUUUUAUAUAAUUUAGUUCAAGUUUAAUUUCACUUGCCAGUGACAUCUGAAUUUAGUAAUUCCACAGGAUAGGAACAUUUUAUUUACAUAAGUAUUCUAUAGCACAAAACUUAGGGAAAGCAUGCCAAAAUUCUGUUUAAUUUGUAGACCCUCUUAUUUUGGUUCCAUUCUGUAACAACAUCUAGAGUAACAAACCACUGUUCUUCCACAUAAGUUUAUAAACUAUUCUAACAGGAGGAACUUAACUCUUUAUUCAUCUCUCUACUUAGAAAAGAGAACCAGAAUCACCAAGUGGCAGGACUUUGCCUGCCUGUGGAUAGUGACUAUUUUGAUCUCUACUUCAAACAGCUGGCUGCUCCUCAAAAAUUUUCUCAUUUGGCACAGGAUUCUGCCUUCUCUAGCUGUUUCCUGAAGACUUCCUUCAGCUGGAAAGUACAAGAAGAGAAAUCAAAUUAGUGGGUGGGCUUUGAGGAGUUUUUCAACACGUGAGCGAUCACUUGAACAUAUUCAGCAGCUAUAAUAAUCAUUCCUCAGGUUCCUUGGGAGUGCUGUCUGCAAUCUUGGUAGCUGAAGGUAGGAUUACGUGGUUUUGGAAGAGUAAAGGAAUGUGUGUGCGAGAGACACCGUGGAAGGCAUUGAUGCAAAUCAAAGUUUUGGAGAGUAUGACAUACAUUUUUCAAAAGCUUCAGUGUCUGCAAAGCAAGCAGCAUAAUGAGAAGAUCCAAACUCCUUCUCUGGACUUAGACAAGUGGAAAAGCAAGCUAUGUGGUUGGAAAUGCACUAUCCUCCUCAUAAACAGCAGUCUGCAU